GCGCCCGUAGCUCAGUUGGAUAGAGCGUCGGCCUCCGGAGCCGAAGGCCACAGGUUCGAAUCCUGUCGGGCGCACCA
This 77-nucleotide transfer RNA is filed under the name Oceanithermus profundus. RNAcentral describes it as "tRNA-Arg". It matches the Rfam family "tRNA". From Rfam's summary of the family: Transfer RNA (tRNA) molecules are approximately 80 nucleotides in length. The record is from RNAcentral. Lineage: Bacteria; Thermotogati; Deinococcota; Deinococci; Thermales; Thermaceae. RNAcentral also lists the same sequence under 4 other names.